RNAcentral lists this ribosomal RNA (252 nucleotides) under uncultured bacterium. Its description in RNAcentral is "partial 16S ribosomal RNA". It matches the Rfam family "Bacterial small subunit ribosomal RNA", at positions 524 to 776 of the family's 1533-position model. The record is from RNAcentral.
UACAGGGGGUGCAAGCGUUGUUCGGAAUACUGGGCGUAAAGCGCGGGCAGGUGGCCUUUUAAGUCCUUUGUGAAAUCCCGGAGCUCAACUCCGGAUGUGCAUAGGAUACUGGAGGGCGUAGGGACUGGUAGAGGCGAGCGGAAUUCCUGGUGUAGCGGUGGAAUGCGUAGAUAUCAGGAAGAACAUCGGUGGCGAAGGCGCUCUGCUGGACCAUAACUGACACUCAGGGACGAAAGCUAGGGAGCGAAUGGG